RNAcentral lists this long non-coding RNA (378 nucleotides) under Hordeum vulgare. RNAcentral's name for it is "long non-coding RNA (HVUL_LNC016998)". The record is from RNAcentral. Lineage: Eukaryota; Viridiplantae; Streptophyta; Magnoliopsida; Poales; Poaceae.
UCCAACCGCGUCAGAAAUUGCUAGACAUGCACUCCCACGUUGGGCGCCAACUCACGAGGGAACGAUCCUGAUAAUACUAGGGAUACGAUCGAAUGAGGGCGGUGCCUAGCUACGACACAGGUGUUCCAUUCAGAUUUAGCGAGGUCGGACCCCUCUGGAAGAGGUAAAGACCCUACGUCUCAUGUACGAAGGCUUUGUGUUUUCUUUAGGGAAUGACCUUGGGAUUGCUUAUAUAGAGUUCGCGAGGACCCAUCGUGCUCUGUUACAAGGGCAUUCGAUGAAAGUAACUUCGGAGUUACUAGACACUGCAACCUUAACUACAGGGGUUAAACCCUAGUCUUUACUAUACUUCAUGUAUGUGUGGUGUUAAAUUCCUCG